Molecule: ribosomal RNA, 496 nt
Filed under: uncultured bacterium
Lineage: Bacteria
Description: partial 16S ribosomal RNA
Rfam family: Bacterial small subunit ribosomal RNA
Source: RNAcentral
GAUGAACGCUGGCGGCGUGCCUAAUACAUGCAAGUCGAGCGAACAGACGAGGAGCUUGCUCCUCUGACGUUAGCGGCGGACGGGUGAGUAACACGUGGAUAACCUACCUAUAAGACUGGGAUAACUUCGGGAAACCGGAGCUAAUACCGGAUAAUAUAUUGAACCGCAUGGUUCAAUAGUGAAAGACGGUUUUGCUGUCACUUAUAGAUGGAUCCGCGCCGCAUUAGCUAGUUGGUAAGGUAACGGCUUACCAAGGCAACGAUGCGUAGCCGACCUGAGAGGGUGAUCGGCCACACUGGAGCGGAGACACGCUCCAGACUCCUACGGGAGGCAGCAGUAGGGAAUCUUCCGCAAGGGGCGAUAGCCUGUCGGGGCAACGCCGCGGGAGUGAUGAAGGGCUUCGGCUCGUAAAACUCUGUUAUUAGGGAAGAACAAAUGUGUAAGUAACUAUGCGCGUCUGGACGGAACCUAAGCAGAAAGCCACGGCUAACUCCUG